Molecule: ribosomal RNA, 648 nt
Filed under: uncultured Basidiomycota
Lineage: Eukaryota; Fungi; Basidiomycota
Description: LSU rRNA
Rfam family: Eukaryotic large subunit ribosomal RNA
Source: RNAcentral
CCUCAAAUCAGGCGGGACUACCCGCUGAACUUAAGCAUAUCAAUAAGCGGAGGAAAAGAAACUAACAAGGAUUCCCCUAGUAACUGCGAGUGAAGCGGGAAAAGCUCAAAUUUAAAAUCUGGCAGUCUUUGGCUGUCCGAGUUGUAGUCUGGAGAAGCGUCUUCCGCGCUGGACCGUGUGCAAGUCUCCUGGAACGGAGCGUCAUAGAGGGUGAGAAUCCCGUCUUUGACACGGACUACCAGUGCUUUGUGAUGCGCUCUCAAAGAGUCGAGUUGUUUGGGAAUGCAGCUCAAAAUGGGUGGUAAACUCCAUCUAAAGCUAAAUAUUGGCGAGAGACCGAUAGCGAACAAGUACCGUGAGGGAAAGAUGAAAAGCACUUUGGAAAGAGAGUUAAACAGUACGUGAAAUUGCUGAAAGGGAAACGCUUGAAGUCAGUCGCGUCCGCUAGAACUCAGCCUGGCUUUUGCUUGGUGCAUUUUCUAGUGGACGGGCCAGCAUCACUUUUGGCUGCGGGAUAAAGGUCGCAGGAAUGUGGCACCUUCGGGUGUGUUAUAGCCUGUGAUUGUAUACCGUGGCUGGGAGUGAGGACCGCAGCACGCCUUCAUGGCGGGGGUUCGCCCACCUUCGUGCUUAGGAUGCUGGCGUAAU